UCCUACGGGAGGCAGCAGUGAGGAAUAUUGGUCAAUGGGCGGAAGCCUGAACCAGCCAAGUAGCGUGCAGGAUGACGGCCCUAUGGGUUGUAAACUGCUUUUAUACAGGAAUAAAGUUAGCCACGUGUGGUUAUUUGUAGAUACUGUAUGAAUUAGGACCGGCUAAUUCCGUGCCAGCAGCCGCGGUAAUACGGAAGGUCCAGGCGUUAUCCGGAUUUAUUGGGUUUAAAGGGAGCGUAGGCCGUCUGUUAAGCGUGUUGUGAAAUGUAGAUGCUCAACAUCUGAAUUGCAGCGCGAACCGGCAGACUUGAGUGUGCGCAACGUAGGCGGAAUUCGUGGUGUAGCGGUGAAAUGCUUAGAUAUCACGAAGAACUCCGAUUGCGAAGGCAGCUUACGGGAGCACAACUGACGCUGAAGCUCGAAAGUGCGGGUAUCGAACAGGAUUAGAUACCCUGGUAGG
RNAcentral lists this ribosomal RNA (460 nucleotides) under uncultured bacterium. Its description in RNAcentral is "bacterial SSU rRNA". It matches the Rfam family "Bacterial small subunit ribosomal RNA", at positions 337 to 794 of the family's 1533-position model. The record is from RNAcentral.